Non-coding RNA from Salmo salar (Atlantic salmon), 779 nucleotides. Lineage: Eukaryota; Metazoa; Chordata; Actinopteri; Salmoniformes; Salmonidae. The record is from RefSeq and is a predicted model, not a curated record.
AUGCACACUCAACACAAGAUGGUGCACCAACACUAACGUUACUUUCAAACGUGCCCCAGAGUGGUCAAGAUCACUUGAUUUCUUUGAAACUGGAAUCUGGGAACAUGCACACCAUUGGAGUUUAUACCUGGCUGGCUGCUUCUGUUCGAAAAUUACGAACGUCACAUGGAUUUCGGGACUUUCCAUUCACAAACUGAACUUGCUUUGGUUAUUCCCGUCACGCACAUACCAGAACACACUGUGGGAGUGGGCAAGAAUUCCAGAACACAUUUUCAUUGGGGAGAGAAAAUGUGAAAAUAUGAUCAAAGAUGACUUGGUUGGAUGUGUAGGUUUGUUACUGUAGUUAUGGUCAACGGGUUUUCAGCUAGUAUCCACUGGCUCUGUUUUAGUUCUUUCAGUAGCCUAGUCAUUGUGAAACAAAAACACUUUUUAAAUGAAAAGAAUGCAUAGUCCUACAUCCCACUCAGCAGUAUGGAUAUGUACAACCAUGUAUAGGCUACUAGAACUAGAUGAUGCUUCAGUGUCGGCCAUCUCAUGAUUGAGGAUAGAUAGACACAAGAUGGCUGCAUACUGACGCUCUUACUGGAAAGGGCGUGGGACUUACCUCAACACUGUUUGACUCCACUUUCCAUUGCAUUUCUAUUCUAUAUGAUUUUCUUGCUGUGUUUUUCAAUGUGAUGAUAUUAAACAAUUUCCUAUCAAAUGGAGCUAGAUCCAACACAAUGUACGUCCUUCAAUGGGUCCCAUCCAGUAUGCCAAAUAAACCUCCAUAGACCUUA